GUGCUUGCUUUGGCAGCACAUAUACUAAAAUGGGAAUGAUACAGAGAAGAUUAGCAUGGCCCCUGCAAAAGGAUGAUGUGCAAAUUCGUGAGGCAUUCUGUAUUUUU
Molecule: small nuclear RNA, 107 nt
Organism: Mastomys coucha (southern multimammate mouse)
Lineage: Eukaryota; Metazoa; Chordata; Mammalia; Rodentia; Muridae
Source: RefSeq, a predicted model, not a curated record